RNAcentral lists this long non-coding RNA (1213 nucleotides) under Pavo cristatus (Indian peafowl). Its description in RNAcentral is "lncRNA (ENSPSTG00000003721.1)". The record is from RNAcentral. Lineage: Eukaryota; Metazoa; Chordata; Aves; Galliformes; Phasianidae.
AGCAGCACCACUCCCACAAAGUCUGUGGGAGAAAGCAGUGCUCUGCAGAACACCGCUGGACAGCCCAUGCUGAGAACAGCCAUCCCUUUGCAAGAGGGGAACGUGGCUGAGGAACAUAUGGAUGCCACUAACAUGCUAACAGGAGAUGUUUCAACGCCUGGUGGAGAUUUGUCACCAUCAGUAACAAGUGUCCCUGCAGCUCUUCUGGUGCUGGGGACAAAAGCACCUUCCUCAGCCACCAGUGCAGCGACUGAUGAUGAAGGGUUGGUGCAGCCUCACCGUGCUGUCACUGCAAAGCGGACAGUGAGGACAGCACAGACCGUGGUGCUGUCUGAUGUCCAACACAGCACAGGGACAUCACCCCACUCCCUCACCUGGAUCCCAGCUGAGCUGCACACAGCCGCUGUGCGCCUGUCCCAGGAGGUGACACCAGGGCUGGAUGAGGCCACCUCUCCUCUUGUCACAGCAGCCAGCAUCACUGCGCGGGACACAGAGCCUGCAUUAACCUCAUCUGACUGUGUCACAUCUCCUACUGUGCCAGCAACCACAGGGUCUCCCCAUCAUGAUGGAAUACAGAAAUCUGCCUCAGCAGCGAUCACCCCUUCUCCUGCCGCUGUCGGUGUCAGUGAGGCCACGGUCCCAGGGCUGCCAGCCCCUGCCACAGCUGGAGAUGGGCUGCACAGAGACACAGCCAUCACCCAUCCCCAUGUCACCUCUCAGCUCUAUGCCACCACUCUACCAGCUCCAGGUAUGCCAGCCACAGCCACGGAUGUCACCACUGCACCACAUGUAUCCACUGCCCUAUUUCCAGCCCUGGGCAGUGCUGAGAUGGUGUCUAUCACUGCUGAAGCCACCACGGGCACUGCUGUCCUGCAGACUGAGGGCACCCCAAUGGAGCUGGAUAUGGGAACAGUCCCCAGCGUGGUCACUGCUGUGUCACUCCCCGAUGGCAGCACUGUUGGGCGAAUUAUGUGGUCAGUGGCCCUGGGAUUUGGCAGCAGCACAAAAGCAUCAGCAGGCUCAAUCACAGCUGAAAACCCCAUAGUGGGUGCCCCUGCAGCCACAGCCAACACUGAGAGCACUUCUGCGGUGUCAGCGUUACCAGCACCACGUCCUUCCGGUGCCAGCACCACUGCUCAGCUGGGCACAGCCACUCCUAACCACAGCCAUAGCACUGCUCCGGUGACAGUGGACAUGGACACCUCCUCAGCCA